AAGCGCUUGUGACCAGACUUGCGCCUGGCGGAUCACCCAGCUCCGGCUGGGGUACUCCGCCGGCUCAGGCCAGCACCGGUUCGCCUUGGGGGUCAAAGGUUUAGGGAACGUGGCUCUUCGGAGUGUUAUAGCCCUUUUCAUAAUACCCUGCGGUGGACCGAGGUACGCGCUCUGCAAGGGUGCUGGCGUAAUGGUCAUCAGCGG
This 204-nucleotide ribosomal RNA is filed under the name Hypocreomycetidae sp. Its description in RNAcentral is "partial large subunit ribosomal RNA". Lineage: Eukaryota; Fungi; Ascomycota; Sordariomycetes. The record is from RNAcentral.